UGUAUCAAGAAAGUGAGUGAAGAUUGUGGGCUGUGAAGGUCAACUUCGUUAUAACCCAAUUAUAGAGUUAACCUAGAAGAGAGUCGUAGGUGGAGAUGUAGCCAAGCAAGAUUUUUUCCCAAAAUCAGAUUUACGUAAUAGCAAUAAGAAUUCAUUGUUGAACUUAACCUGGAUAAUGAUUGGAACAUCAAUGACAUUGGAAUUUUAGGAUUCCAAAUUACUGGGUUCAAAAUCUGGUAUAUAAAAACCACUCACAUUUCGGCCAUCACCCAAGCCUCUAGAUUUAAAAUUGCAAACAGUAACCAGUGGGUUCCUUUCCGAUGAUAAGACACUAUCACACUGUCAUGGGAUCAAGCUUCACUGUUCCAACCUUAAGAAUAAGGUUGUUCUACAAUGAAGUGUAAUGAUAGGAUAUAAUGUGUGAUGGAGGAAGCAGAUUAGAAAUAGUUGUUAGUUAGGUUGUUAGGAUGAGUGAGGUUUCCUUUAUAUAAUGGGGGGUCCUGGUAUGUAGGCAUUUUUUGAUAAUUUUGUAGAUUGAGCUUUAGCUCUUUGUGAAGGGGAAACCCUUGGAGGAGAGAGUGCUCUCCUAUUUUGUGUUCUUUUCAGUCUUUUCAAUAAAAUUAUAUCACUCUUCUUUCUCUUUUCAAUUCUGGGUUUCUAACAAAACACAAUAUAGCAGGUCAGAUAAUAGGUCAGCUAAGGAGGGAGAAGAAAUGUUAAGGCCUUGGACUACGAGGGUGGAAUUACCCACAUUUGAGGGGAAUUAUCCUUUAGGAUGGAUUUUAAGAGCAGAGAAAAUGUUUGAUGUUCAGAAUGACACUUCAAGGGAAAAACUGGGUUUGGCUUCCAUCUGCGUGAAGGAAAAGGCAAUGAUAAAUCAUGAGGGCGAUGAUAAAGUAGAUAAGAACAAUGAGCCAGAAGCUGUGGAUGAAUCACAUGAUUUAAGGUUACUAGAACAUACUGCAACUUUGACUCAUGUGGAGGCUGGUGAAGAUGUUGCAGCUUUGAUUCCUAUGUCACCUAUUAAUGAUGAUCGAAUGGACAUAAACGAAUGGGUUGAGUACAGCGGUGGUGAUGUGAACCAGCCUAUGAACGAUGAAACUGAACCUUUAAAUUUGACUUUUGUCAACAUAACAGAUAAAGAUUAUUAGUAUUUGCUUAAUGUUGAUGAAAAAAAUGCCAAAAAAAGGGACUCAAUGAUAGGAUUUUGAUGGAGUUCUUGAGCUUGAAUCGAAUUCCAAUUCAAUUGAGUCACAAGAUCUAUAGAAGCUAAACCAGAGCAGAUUGAAGUAGGGAAAACAUCUAUAGAAGCAGCGACACAAGAUCUCAUGGAAAGGGAUGAAGCACUCCAGCAGCUUAAAUUUCCGGAGUACAACGUUGAGGAAAGGGUUGUUUCAGCAUAGGAGAGAAUUGUUAGGCAUGUAAAUAAUGAGAAAGAAUGGAAUAGAUAUUAUAGAAGGAAUGAUAGCAUAUGGGAGGUUUACUGUAGAACGAAAUAAAAGGAAGCGGUGGAAAGGUAUGUGGAUGCAGUGCUGUCAGUUGGCAGUUGAUCUAUAUAAUUAGACCAAUCAGUUCCUUGUACGGGGCAUUCAUUUAUGUUGCAAGUCUUUGAUUUGUGACAGGGAAUACCCUGUGUGAAAGGAAGCUUUUCCUUUGUAAACUUUGGCUUAUACAGCUAAUAGUGAAUAAUUAAGUUUAGAAGUUUUUCUUAGUUCUUUUCAGUCUUGUUUUUCUCUUCACGGUUUCUGGGGCCUAAUGGUCAAUGUCGUGUUUGGUGUUGUGUUAGAGUUAGUGGCUAAUAGGUUAAGAGUAUCAAAACACGUUAAAACACAUAAUGAGGAAGGAUUCUUUUUUCUUUCAAACUUCGUUGAAAUAUUCUUGACUAAAUUCAUUUCAUGAUCUUGGGCUUAAACUCGAAAUUUACUGUAUAUUUCCCACUCCACAAAAAAGGAGAACAGAUAUGGCUAAUAGUAGUCUGUAUUUUAAUUGUGUGCUGCUACUAUAUCUAAUCAAGGCUUCUGUCAUAACUGUAGGAGGAUCGGCCAAGUAUUGAUGAGGCUCUUCAACAUCCUUAUUUCCAACAUCCCCGCAGAGAGUGAUUAUAUAGAAAACGAUAAGGUCUUCUCCACCGAUUUAUUCAUUUGCAGGUAAGUAAUCUGUGCCUCUAACUUAAAAGCUUAUGUUAGAAUUUUGUCUAUAAAACUUAGGUUAAAUAAGUUUUUAAUACCCUUAAAAUUGGUUCAAAUUGAAAUUUUUACAUCCAAAAUUUUUUCACGUUUUUUAGAUCCCUCUGUUCGUUACUAUCUUACUUUUGAAUUAAUUAUAUUAACAUGUUAAUUAUAACAAUGUCCCAUGAAAUGUCUAGUGAUUGAUUUUGUGAGACUCUUAAGAGUAACAAAGUUACUGCUUGGACCAAAGUAAUAAAGUUACUAUUUGGAUCAAAUUAUUAAAUAUUUAUAAAAACACUGAACAAAUUGUAGAGUUUCUAAAAACUUAAUCAACCCUAACUUUAGUCUUAUAACGUAAUGAAAUCCAUGCACUACUCUCAUUAUACAAAAUGCCAGUCACUUUCUUGUGUUAAUACAUUGAAAAAUGAAAUGGACAAGAACUGUAUGUAGUAAUACUUUUUUUGCAUAGUGUGGGACUAAAAUGGGUAUUUUAGAAUGUUAAAAAGUACUGUGAUCGACACUCAAUUGCGGCUUUUACAAUGAUUCUGUGUCUUCUAUUACUGAAAACGUGUCCCUGAACAGAAACAGGGCAGUUUUAUUUUGUCUAUAUACGUGGAGGAUUCGUGUUUGAUAAAAGAUGAGGCCAAAAAUACAAAUACUGACUAAUAAAUAGGGCCAUAGUCGCAUGGUUGACGACCCGGAGGAUCCUAUGAGCAUCGAAUGCUUCAUAUUCUACAUUGAAUUAUAAAAAAAGUUAGUGGUGUUUCUUUGUCUUGAUUUUAUAAAAGAAUAAAUGCAUUACAGCACAUGAGAGCGGAAACAACAUCAAUGAUAGGUUCUGCAGAUAUUUAUUCAUUUUGUUUAAAUGAACUUUGCUGAUUUUAGCUGCAUCAUGAACUAUAAUAUAUCAUUAUCCUUUACCUUAGUUGGUUGGCUGGUUCUUAAUGACUGCUAUUUCAUCUCAUUUCAUUUCCUUCAGAUAUGCUGUAAUGACAUUAUGAAAGUCAAUAUGCCUCUUCAAGGACAUCGAGGAAAGCUGAAAAUCUAGCGGGGCCGGUUGGCAUCGAAUAUCGUCUGUAAUUGGCAUGCAAACUUUAGUAGAAUGAAAGAUUUGGAAUUCAUGAAAGGCUCGUCAUAAAGAAAGAUCAAUAUUGCCUCUGCUUAGAACAGCCUUUACGGCGCAUUCGGCCAAACAUGAUGGAAUACUGGUCGGUGAAAAUUCGAUUUUUUAUUAUCCCAUACAAUAAAAUACAUUAAUGUGCUGUGUUAAUAAAAUUCCUUUGUAUAUCCGUGUAUAAGUAGAGUUCAUGUUCGUAAGGAAAUGCUUGCAAUUAAGAUUUUAAAAGUUCUUUUGUAAAAUAAAAAAAUUGAUAUUCAAUAUAAAUUAUGAGAAUAGGGUAAUAAACUUGUUAUUCAAUUGAGAUUGUAAAGGAUUAUUUUUCUAAUUUGAUUUUUAUGGAUUUUUGGGUUACUUUUAUCGAUCUCUUCUAAUUUCAAACUUUUUUUACACCCG
This 3681-nucleotide long non-coding RNA is filed under the name Vigna radiata. RNAcentral describes it as "long non-coding RNA (VRAD_LNC008887)". The record is from RNAcentral. Lineage: Eukaryota; Viridiplantae; Streptophyta; Magnoliopsida; Fabales; Fabaceae.